RNAcentral lists this ribosomal RNA (411 nucleotides) under uncultured Acaulospora. RNAcentral's name for it is "SSU rRNA". It matches the Rfam family "Eukaryotic small subunit ribosomal RNA", at positions 569 to 981 of the family's 1831-position model. The record is from RNAcentral. Lineage: Eukaryota; Fungi; Glomeromycota; Glomeromycetes; Diversisporales; Acaulosporaceae.
AGCAGCCGCGGUAAUUCCAGCUCCAAUAGCGUAUAUUAAAGUUGUUGCAGUUAAAAAGCUCGUAGUUGAAUUUCGGGGUUCAUACGUUGGUCGGGCUUUUUGGUCUGUACUGGCGUAAUGGAUUCCUACCUUCUGAAUAACCGGCAUGCCAUUAAUUUGGUGCGCCGGGGAAGCGGGACUGUUACCUUGAAAAAAUUAGAGUGCUUAAAGCAGGCUAUCGCCUGAAUACAUUAGCAUGGAAUAAUGAAAUAGGACGGCAUGGUUCUAUUUUGUUGGUUUCUAGGAUCACCGUAAUGAUUAAUAGGGAUAGUUGGGGGCAUUAGUAUUGCAAUUGUCAGAGGUGAAAUUCUUGGAUUUAUUGAAGACUAACUUCUGCGAAAGCAUUUGCCAAGGAUGUUUUCAUUAAUCAAG